CACCGACCACCCUCUCAUUUUUUUCUCUCCUGCGUGCAAACAGCGCACGACCCGCACACGGCCACCAUUUUCUUAUUUUUCGGAGCAGCGCUCGCUCCUCCGGUCCUCCCUCUCGCUUGUGCCGACCAAGGAGCCCUGGGCAGUAGCAGCCCGACCAGGGACAAGAACUCACGAAGAGCGGAGGCGACGGCCGUUAUCGGGUGGUCGUCGACCAGAUCGGGGCCGGGGAGCAGCGACGCGGCGGCCUAGGGAGGCGUCGGCAACGGCCAAAACGAGGCGGCGACAGUCGGGGAAGGCCCGGCGGCUUCUGGAAUGGAGCGGCAGCGGUCGAACAAUGCCGGCCGGGUCGGGGCCAAAUUUGGCCCAAUUGAGGCCAAAUCGAACGAAAUCGGGGUCUCAUCCCUGCAACCACGCCGCCCCUCUCCCUUACUUCCCCAGCCUUGCUCCCGCAGCCACGUCGCCGGGAGCCCCAUCCCCGCACCUCACCGCCGUCCUCAGCCCUAUGGCUCGCCCGCGCUUUGUGUUUGCGUUGUGGUUGCUGGGGUUUCAAUUUCAUCGGAGGCGGCGGCGUUGGGAUACGGCUCUCCGGCAGGCUUCGCAGUUUAGGGCGUUGAUUCCGGGCGAUGCUGGCGGUGGGCUGCUGGUUACUGCGCUUCUUCUUCUGGAGGAAAUUUCAAGUUCUCAUUUCCUAGUUGACUACAUCCCUACGCAAUUUAGUCUGUAUAAGGAUAUAUUGGAGUCCCUGCCUUGAAAUUCGUAUCCACAACUCCAGUUCAGCGAGGUUCAACUUUUAUAAAGGAGAGAUGGGAUUUGGAAGAUACACCUGAAACAGAGAAGAUUCUUGACACUGCUAGAGAGCGCUAUAGAGGAUGGCGGUGUACUUUGCAUUCCACCUACAAGGCUUAUAAGACGGAUGAAGAAAGCCGGGCGAACAGACCAGAAGACGUGGAUCCAGGUGAAUGGGAUUAUUUAAUAGAAUAUUUUGGGUCAGAUCAGAAAUUCCAGGAACUGAGUCAGAAGAACUCGGACAAUCGUAAAAAACAGAAGACCAAGCACCUGAUUGGUUCCAAGUCAUACUCAUAGAUUAGUUAUGAGAAGAGAAAUGUGGAGACAGGAGAAGAACCUGAUGAUAUCCAGCUUUGGGAGCUAACUCACGUGAAAAAUGAACAAUGCACGUGCAAAAGUUAGUGAAAAGGAAAAAUAAGGAGAUCCAAUUUCAAAAGAAGAGAGGAACAAAAUAUUUCAGACUAGCUAUAGGAAUUCAGCAGGUUGUAAGUCGUCGCGAUUCCUAGUACUGCUGAAAUACUUGCUGAGUUGAAUGAACAAGCUCGGGAGACAUCUCAAGCUAUGAGGAAAAAUGAGGAGCUCAACCAACAUGUCCAAAAACUUGGAAAACAAAAAUGAAGAGCUCAACCACACCAUCCAGGACUUGGAGAAUAAGCUGGCAGCGGAAUGUAAGGAAAGAGAGCGAGCACAAGAGGAAGAUCACAUAGAAAGGGAGAAACAACUGGAGACACUGAAGCAAUCAAUGAGAGAAGAAAUGCUUAAUAUGAUUGGGGCUCAACCAACAGCUACACAGAAGGAUGCUGCACUAAGAGCUAUCCCAGGAAAUGUAAACACGAACAGUGUAAUGCUCUCUGGUUCUAGCUUGGUUACGGGUCUAGGUCAACGCAUUAUCAGCUCUCAACAGCUUCGUCAAUCUGCUUUGAAAAAACGUUCUCAAGUUGGGAAGGAUGGAUACAUAUGACUGGAUGGAAUGAUUGGGUGAAGUGAACAAGAACGCAAAGUUUAGUAUCACAAGAUGGCUUUUACUUAGGACUAGUGGCUGGGGCGCCCCAUGGGGCACCUCCUCACCGGACAGUGGCAGUCUAAUCAUAAUCUAAUCUCCUCUUGUAGCAGGUUCUUUACCACCAAAAUGCAACCCCAAGCCUCACAGUUCGAUUUCCAUCACAUCUGUAGGCCAACAUAUUUUCUUACCCGUAUCAAGUAUCUAGGAGCAUCUGAAAAAUAACAUUCCCUUUGCUCCAAAUUAAUUGAAUCAGUUUUUUGUAGAUAAAUGUAUAUCUAGAUUAAGUUGAGUCAAUUAAUUUGGGACGGAAGGAAUAGAUAGUAUCUAGAAGUGCAGACCUUAUAUUAGUCUGCUACUACAUGAGGCUAGCCAGAUGUGACGUAUAUGACAGAUAAUUCGGAGAAAAAAUGUAUGAAGUGUAAUACAGAAAAAUCGACACUGCUCAUGUGCAAGUUGACAAGGUGUGACCAAUAUACUGUAUAAUAAGAAUGUUGGUAUCGGACAUGUUAAGACUUGA
Non-coding RNA from Lolium perenne, 2306 nucleotides. NCBI's taxonomy places the organism in Eukaryota, Viridiplantae, Streptophyta, Magnoliopsida, Poales, Poaceae. The record is from RefSeq and is a predicted model, not a curated record.